CUGAAUUCCAGUUCUAGAACUUCACUAGAAAAAAAUCAGGAUGUGUGGAAAUACUUAUCUACAAGGAUGUUCAUCCCAGUGUUAUUUAUAAUGGCAAAAAAAGAAGGUUUCUGGAACUAGAUCUUCCUCCCUCAGAUAUUCUUUAUGUUAACGAAUUGUCUUCUGUAGAAAUGCAAAGAUCUUUUGGAAGGGCUGUACACAGGUCUAAGAUUGUAGCUAAGAUAUUGCUACCCAUGUAAGGACCAUAUUUCUCAACUUCUUGCCAAGUCUGGGAUUUGAUUCUACCUUACUGAAAGCUAAUAUGUUAGCUUCUGACUGUUUCACUGGUGCUAAUGGAAGACACAAGACCCUUAGGUCAGAAAAAAAGGAGUUUAGUACUCAUGACACAACAAGAAGCAGGAACAUCAGCAUAUUUGCAUUGGUUCUUCUUGCCCUGGGUCUUAUGGGGGAUAAUACGAUGGGCCCAGAUGGAUGUUAUGCAUGCAGAGUGUUUGUGUUGCAACUGAGGAGCACCAAGCUUGGGGAAUCCAUCACUUUUAUAGUAAGCAAUAAGCAAGCCUAUUCAUUGUGCCUGGUGGUGUGUGUGUCAUAGGGAAGGAUAAGUAGAUGUAAUUUCAUUUCCUCAGGUAACUGUCUGUAUAAACAACCCUAAGAAAUAGCCGGAAUAAAAGAGCAGUGAGAUCCUUGAAGUUCUAGUAUAUUCAGCAAGACAUGUAGGAAUGCAAGAGGUCCAAGGAGCUCUUUUGAAACUAGAUAUGGCCAUGUCACUUAGACUUCUGCAUUAGAAUAUGAGGGGCAAGAUAUGUGUCCCUUGUGGGAUGACACCUUAAAACCAGGCUAUGCCUCAUUUAAUUCCUCUUUCCCCUUUGUGUUUGCUGGUUAAUGGCAAUGACAAGAGAGAUUUUGGAAGACAAGUGUUGAAAAAGCUGCCAUCAGCCUGAGUCCAGGAUGACUGUGCACAGAAGAGUUGCCCAUCAACUUAGAACAUUCACUUCAAAUUGUCACGUGCGCGAGACAUACACUUUUUAUUCUGCAAGCUGUCUGGAAAUGUCAUUUGUUACAGUGACUCAGUAUACCCUUCACUAAUAAAACAUCUCAUGCAGAAGGGUUGCAAGGAUUAAAUGAAA
This is a long non-coding RNA of Pan troglodytes (chimpanzee), 1127 nucleotides long. RefSeq lists it as uncharacterized. The record is from RefSeq and is a predicted model, not a curated record. NCBI's taxonomy places the organism in Eukaryota, Metazoa, Chordata, Mammalia, Primates, Hominidae. The transcript has 3 exons.